UCGACGCCGGACGGAAGUGCUGCCGGUCUUCCGUGCGUGUCCUAACUUCCUUCCCUGAUCCCGAGCGGUUUUUCCUUCUACUCCUCUGCCGCCGGUGACUAGGGCCACAGUCGACUCCCUGUUGCCCUGGCCGCGGAGAGAUCGAGCACAGGACUACGGCCGAUCAAGCCCCCAGCCCGAUUCUCUCCUCUUUGCUCCAAGCCGUGCCCUAGUUAGGGUACACAGCCGUCGGUGGCCACAGAUUUCACUUCCUCCCUUCUCUGUGUCGUGCCCUAGGUCAUAGCCAACAAGUGAGGUUGUGUGCUGUGAGGCUUGCUUGUUCUUGGUUCCGGCAGCCUUCUUUCCAACAGCUACUUGUUGGUUGCGGAUCUAGAGCAGUGUGUGAAUUGAGGAUCUUGACGCGAGACGAGUAUCUCGGAGUCGGAUUUGGACCACUUUAUUGGAGGCG
Long non-coding RNA from Zingiber officinale, 448 nucleotides. RefSeq lists it as uncharacterized. The record is from RefSeq and is a predicted model, not a curated record. The transcript has 3 exons. Lineage: Eukaryota; Viridiplantae; Streptophyta; Magnoliopsida; Zingiberales; Zingiberaceae.